CACGUAUCCAACCUACCGGUUAUCCCGGGAUAGCCUUUCGAAAGAAAGAUUAAUACCGGAUAGUAUAACGAGAAGGCAUCUUUUUGUUAUUAAAGAAUUUCGAUAACCGAUGGGGAUGCGUUCCAUUAGUUUGUUGGCGGGGUAACGGCCCACCAAGACAUCGAUGGAUAGGGGUUCUGAGAGGAAGGUCCCCCACAUUGGAACUGAGACACGGUCCAAACUCCUACGGGAGGCAGCAGUGAGGAAUAUUGGUCAAUGGACGAGAGUCUGAACCAGCCAAGUAGCGUGAAGGAUGACUGCCCUAUGGGCUGUAAACUUCUUUUAUAUGGGAAUAAAGUGAGCCACGUGUGGCUUUUUGUAUGUACCAUACGAAUAAGGA
Molecule: ribosomal RNA, 379 nt
Filed under: uncultured bacterium
Lineage: Bacteria
Description: bacterial SSU rRNA
Rfam family: Bacterial small subunit ribosomal RNA
Source: RNAcentral